GACGAACGCUGGCGGCGUGCUUAACACAUGCAAGUCGAACGGAAAGGCCCUGCUUUUGUGGGGUGCUCGAGUGGCGAACGGGUGAGUAACACGUGAGUAACCUGCCCUUGACUUUGGGAUAACUUCAGGAAACUGGGGCUAAUACCGGAUAGGAGCUCCUGCUGCAUGGUGGGGGUUGGAAAGUUUCGGCGGUUGGGGAUGGACUCGCGGCUUAUCAGCUUGUUAGUGGGGUAGUGGCUUACCAAGGCUUUGACGGAUAGCCGGCCUGAGAGGGUGGCCGGGCACAAGGGGACUAAGAGACGGACCAGAAGCCAACGGGAGGCAGCGGGGGGGAGUAUGACAGAGUGAGCGGAAGCGUGAGACGGCGACGCCGCGUGCGGGAUGACGGCCUUCGGGUUAUAAACCGCUUUCGCCUGUGACGAAGCGUGAGUGACGGUAAUGAAUAAAGAAGCACCGGCUAACUACGUG
This 468-nucleotide ribosomal RNA is filed under the name uncultured bacterium. RNAcentral's name for it is "partial 16S ribosomal RNA". It matches the Rfam family "Bacterial small subunit ribosomal RNA", at positions 28 to 507 of the family's 1533-position model. The record is from RNAcentral.